This 253-nucleotide ribosomal RNA is filed under the name uncultured bacterium. RNAcentral describes it as "partial 16S ribosomal RNA". It matches the Rfam family "Bacterial small subunit ribosomal RNA", at positions 524 to 776 of the family's 1533-position model. The record is from RNAcentral.
UACGGAGGGUGCAAGCGUUAUUCGGAAUUACUGGGCGUAAAGCGUGCGCAGGCGGUUUGUUAAGUCUGCUGUGAAAUCCCCGAGCUCAACUUGGGAAUUGCAGUGGAUACUGGCAAGCUGGAGUACGGUAGAGGAAGGUGGAAUUCCCGGUGUAGCAGUGAAAUGCGUAGAGAUCGGGAGGAACACCAGUGGCGAAGGCGGCCUUCUGGACCAGUACUGACGCUCAUGCACGAAAGCGUGGGGAGCAAACAGG